UCACUUUAUAUUCACGCAAUGCGCGCUAUAUAGGGUGUGCUGGUUUCGGCCAGAUAUGGCGAUAAAUUGCGAUGUGCAAUAGAUACAACGGACCCGGGGGCAGUACCCGGCGGCUCCACCAAAAUCCCCGUUCUGCGGGGUUCCUGAUGGGGCCGAACUAGGAUCGACGUGUGUUGAAAAGCAUUGUUUUUGCCCGGGUUGAGAAACCCCGUAAAAGGCUCAUUUUUAUAAGUGCAAACGAUAACGAAGCACUCGCUCUCGCAGCGUAAUCUGACGGCCUAACGGCCUGAUCUUACAAAGCUAAAGCGCGGUUGGACCCACCGGGCAACAGAAGCGGAUUCCG
RNAcentral lists this transfer-messenger RNA (343 nucleotides) under Pontixanthobacter aestiaquae. It matches the Rfam family "Alphaproteobacteria transfer-messenger RNA". From Rfam's summary of the family: Bacterial tmRNA, also known as 10Sa RNA or SsrA, is named for its dual tRNA and mRNA-like properties. Its role is to liberate the mRNA from a stalled ribosome. To accomplish this part of the tmRNA is used as a reading frame that ends in a translation stop signal. The record is from RNAcentral. Lineage: Bacteria; Pseudomonadati; Pseudomonadota; Alphaproteobacteria; Sphingomonadales; Erythrobacteraceae.